This 1338-nucleotide ribosomal RNA is filed under the name Varroa jacobsoni. RNAcentral's name for it is "SSU rRNA". It matches the Rfam family "Eukaryotic small subunit ribosomal RNA", at positions 187 to 1524 of the family's 1831-position model. The record is from RNAcentral. Lineage: Eukaryota; Metazoa; Arthropoda; Arachnida; Mesostigmata; Varroidae.
UUGAAGGACAGGAACACAUCGCCACAACUGAAGAGGCUUUUUGCGAAAACAAAGCAUGACGUCUUUUGCAAACCAUGUCUUCGGACUUCUGGUGAUGACUCUGAAUAACUUUGCCGAGCAUUUCAGCAUAAAGCUGGUGCUAUUCCUUCAAAGUAUCUGCUCUAUCAACUGUCGAUGGUAUAUUAUAUGUUUACCAUGGUUGUAACGGGUAACGGGGAAUUAGGGUUCGAUUCCGGAGAGGGAGCCUGAGAAACGGCUACCACAUCUAAGGAAGGCAGCAGGCGCGCAAAUUACCCAAUCCCGGCACGGGGAGGUAGUGACAAAAAAUAACAAUGCGGGACUCUUAUGAGGCUUCGUAAUUGGAAUGAGUACAUUCUAAAUCCUUUAACGAGGAACUAUUGGAGGGCAAGUCUGGUGCCAGCAGCCGCGGUAAUUCCAGCUCCAAUAGCGUAUAUUAAAAUUGUUGCGUCUAAAAAGCUCGUAGUUUGAAAACUUGCCUUGGCUUACACUAGUCCCUGUUGGGGCACCGUUUGUUGAGCGCAAAUAUAGGUAACUGUUUUUGCCGACUUCAUUGCUUGGCUUAUAAGAGUUAUCAAAUAUCACUUUGAUUAAAUUAGAGUGCUUAAAGCAAGUGUGUUACUUGGAUAUAAAUGCAUGGAAUGAUGGAAUAUGUUGUUGUUCUAUUUGUUGGUUUUUGAACGAUGAAAUGAUUGAAAGGAACUGUUGGGGGCAUUCGUAUUGUUGUGAGAGAGGUGAAAUUCUUAGACCACAGCAAGACGAACUACUGCGAAAGCAUUUGCCAAGAAUGUUUUCAUUGAUCAAGAACGAAAGUUAGAGGUUCGAAGGCGAUCAGAUACCGCCCUAGUUCUAACCAUAAACUAUGCCAACUAGCAAUUUGCUUACGUAUGUCUUACGACUAAGUGAGAGGCCACGGGAAACCAAAGUAGGGUUAUGGGGGAAGUAUGGUUGCAAAGCUGAAACUUAAAGGAAUUGACGGAAGGGCACCACCAGGAGUGGAGCCUGCGGCUUAAUUUGACUCAACACGGGAAAACUUACCUGGUCCUGACACUAGAAGGAUUGACAGAUUGAUAGCUCUUUCUUGAUUUGGUGGAUGGUGGUGCAUGGCCGUUCUUAGUUGGUGGAGUGAUUUGUCUGGUUAAUUCCGAUAACGAACGAGACUCUAGCCUAUUAAAUAACACACGGAAUCUUGUCUUCCGUGAGGUUCCUUAAUGGGAUCAAGUGUGUUUAACACUUUGAAACAGAGCAAUAACAGGUCUGUGAUGCCCUUAGAUGUUCGGGGCCGCACGCGCGCUACAUUGAGAGACAAAAUGAGUUUCC